RNAcentral lists this ribosomal RNA (995 nucleotides) under uncultured bacterium. Its description in RNAcentral is "bacterial SSU rRNA". It matches the Rfam family "Bacterial small subunit ribosomal RNA", at positions 355 to 1375 of the family's 1533-position model. The record is from RNAcentral.
UGGGGGAUAUUGCACAAUGGGCGAAAGCCUGAUGCAGCGACCCCGCGUGAGGGAAGACGGUCCUCUGGAUUGUAAACCUCUGUCUUUGGGGACGAAUAAAUGACGGUACCCAAGGAGGAAGCUCCGGCUAACUACGUGCCAGCAGCCGCGGUAAUACGUAGGGAGCAAGCGUUGUCCGGAAUUACUGGGUGUAAAGGGAGCGUAGGCGGGGCAUUAAGUUGAUUGUGAAAUCUACCGGCUCAACUGGUAGCUGCGAUCAAAACUGAUGCUCUUGAGUGAAGUAGAGGCAGGCGGAAUUCCUAGUGUAGCGGUGAAAUGCGUAGAUAUUAGGAGGAACACCAGUGGCGAAGGCGGCCUGCUGGGCUUUUACUGACGCUGAGGCUCGAAAGCAUGGGGAGCAAACAGGAUUAGAUACCCUGGUAGUCCAUGCCGUAAACGAUGAUUACUAGGUGUGGGGGGACAAUCCUUCCGUGCCGGAGUUAACACAAUAAGUAAUCCACCUGGGGAGUACGACCGCAAGGUUGAAACUCAAAGGAAUUGACGGGGGCCCGCACAAGCAGUGGAGUAUGUGGUUUAAUUCGAAGCAACGCGAAGAACCUUACCAGGUCUUGACAUCUCCUGAAUAGCCUAGAGAUAGGUGAAGCCCUUCGGGGCAGGAAGACAGGUGGUGCAUGGUUGUCGUCAGCUCGUGUCGUGAGAUGUUGGGUUAAGUCCCGCAACGAGCGCAACCCUUGUUACUAGUUGCUACGCAAGAGCACUCUAGUGAGACUGCCGUUGACAAAACGGAGGAAGGUGGGGAUGACGUCAAAUCAUCAUGCCCCUUAUGACCUGGGCUACACACGUACUACAAUGGCGAUGAACAGAGGGUCGCGAAAUGGUGACAUGGAGCCAAUCCUCAAAAAUCGUCUCAGUUCAGAUUGCAGGCUGCAACCCGCCUGCAUGAAGUCGGAAUUGCUAGUAAUCGCGGAUCAGCAUGCCGCGGUGAAUACGUUCCC